Molecule: ribosomal RNA, 236 nt
Filed under: Cincticostella elongatula
Lineage: Eukaryota; Metazoa; Arthropoda; Insecta; Ephemeroptera; Ephemerellidae
Description: partial 12S ribosomal RNA
Source: RNAcentral
GGCGGUGAUUUAACUAAUCAGAGGAAUUUGCCCUGUGAUCGAUAGUCCCCGAGGAUUCCACUUAAGUUUGUAGUCAGCUUGUAUACCGCCGUCAUCAGAAAAUUUUAAGAAAAAUUUCCUAAAUCUUGUAGAAGAGUAUGUCAGGUCAAGGUGCAGUUAAUGUUUAAGUAGUAGGUGAAUUACAAUAAAAUAAUUUAUUACGGACUAAUUUAUGGAAAAUUUUAGGAAGGUGGAUU